GGAUUAGGCAUGCAAGUCGUACGAGAAUCGUAGCUUCGGCUACCAGGAGAGUGGCGAACGGGUGAGUAACGCGUGGGUAAUUUACCUUUGAGACUGGAAUAACAACCCGAAAGAGUUGCUAAUACCGGAUACGAUUGUGAGUACUUCGGCAUUCACAAUGAAAGGUGGAUUCAUUUAUGGGUCUGCCGCUCAAAGAUGAGCCCGCGUCCUAUUAGCUAGUUGGUGAGGUAACGGCUCACCAAGGCAACGAUGGGUAGCUGGCCUGAGAGGGUGGUCAGCCACAUUGGGACUGAGAUACUGCCCAAACUCCUACGGGAGGCUGCAGUCGAGAAUAUUUCGCAAUGGGGGAAACCCUGACGAUGCGACGCCGCGUGCGGGAUGAAGGCCCUCGGGUUGUAAACCGCUGUGUUAUGGGAAGAACCGCUAGUUGGUGAUAAGCCAGUUAGCUUGACGGUACCAUAGUAGAAAGCCCCGGCUAACUCACGUGCCAGCAGCCGCGGUAAUACGUGGGGGCUAGCGUUGUCCGGAAUUACUGGGCGUAAAGCGCGCGUAGGCGGUCAUAUCAGUCAAGUGUGAAAUUGCUUGGCUCAACCAAGCAACUGUGCUUGAUACUGUGUGGCUUGAGUACGGAAGAGGAAAGUGGAAUACACGGUGUAGCGGUGAAAUGCGUAGAUAUCGUGUAGAACACCAGUGGCGAAGGCGGCUUUCUAGUCCGAUACUGACGCUGAGGUGCGAAAGUCUGGGGAGCAAACGGGAUUAGAUACCCCGGUAGUCCAGACCGUAAACGAUGGGUACUAAGUGUAGGGAAUGUUUAUAUUCUCUGUGCUGUAGCUAACGCAUUAAGUACCUCGCCUGGGGAGUACGGCCGCAAGGUUAAAACUCAAGGUAAUUGACGGGGGGCCGCACAAGCGGUGGAGCAUGUCGCUUAAUUCGAAGCAACGCGAAGAACCUUAUCCAGGGCUUGACAUCUUAGUGACCGCCAUAGAAAUAUGGUCUUCCUUCGGGACACUAUGACAGGUGCUGCAUGGCUGUCGUCAGCUCGUGUCGUGAGAUGUUGGGUUAAGUCCCGCAACGAGCGCAACCCUUGUCUUUAGUUGCCAUCAGGUAAUGCUGGGGACUCUAAAGAGACCGCUGGUGACGAGCCAGAGGAAGGUGGGGAUGACGUCAAGUCCGCAUGGCCCUUAUGCCCUGGGCUGCACACGUGCUACAAUGGUCGGUACAGAGGGUUGCCAAACCGCGAGGUGGAGCGAAUCCCAAAAAGCCGGCCCCAGUUAGGAUUGCAGUCUGCAACUCGACUGCAUGAAUCUGGAAUCGCUAGUAAUCGCGAAUCAGCAGGUCGCGGUGAAUACGUUCCCGGCCCUUGUACACACCGCCCGU
Molecule: ribosomal RNA, 1377 nt
Filed under: uncultured Planctomycetales bacterium
Lineage: Bacteria; Pseudomonadati; Planctomycetota; Planctomycetia; Planctomycetales
Description: bacterial SSU rRNA
Rfam family: Bacterial small subunit ribosomal RNA
Source: RNAcentral